Molecule: ribosomal RNA, 776 nt
Filed under: uncultured Corynebacterium sp.
Lineage: Bacteria; Bacillati; Actinomycetota; Actinomycetes; Mycobacteriales; Corynebacteriaceae
Description: bacterial SSU rRNA
Rfam family: Bacterial small subunit ribosomal RNA
Source: RNAcentral
CGGAAAGGCCCUGCUUGCAGGUACCCGAGUGGCGAACGGGUGAGUAACACGUGGGUGAUCUGCCCUGCACUUCGGGAUAAGCCUGGGAAACUGGGUCUAAUACCGGAUAGGAGCCAUUUUUAGUGUGAUGGUUGGAAAGUUUUUUCGGUGUAGGAUGAGCUCGCGGCCUAUCAGCUUGUUGGUGGGGUAAUGGCCUACCAAGGCGGCGACGGGUAGCCGGCCUGAGAGGGUGGACGGCCACAUUGGGACUGAGAUACGGCCCAGACUCCUACGGGAGGCAGCAGUGGGGAAUAUUGCACAAUGGGCGCAACUGGAUGCAGCGACGCGCGUGGGGGAUGACGGCUUCGGGUUGUAACUCCUUUCGCUAGGGACGAGCUUUUUGUGACGGUACUAGAUAAGAGCACCGGCUAACUACGUCCCAGCAGCCGCGGUAAUACGUAGGGUGCGAGCGUUGUCCGGAAUUACUGGGCGUAAAGGGCUCGUAGGUGGUUUGUCGCGUCGUCUGUGAAAUUCCGGGGCUUAACUCCGGGCGUGCAGGCGAUACGGGCAUAACUUGAGUACUGUAGGGGUAACUGGAAUUCCUGGUGUAGCGGUGAAAUGCGCAGAUAUCAGGAGGAACACCGAUGGCGAAGGCAGGUUACUGGGCAGUUACUGACGCUGAGGAGCGAAAGCAUGGGUAGCGAACAGGAUUAGAUACCCUGGUAGUCCAUGCCGUAAACGGUGGGCGCUAGGUGUGAGGGUCGUUUUCACGACUUUCGUGCCGUAGUAACGCAUUA